UGGGCGAAAGCCUGACGGAGCAACGCCGCGUGAGGGAAGAAGGCCUUCGGGUUGUAAACCUCUGUUUUCAGGGAAGAAAAAAUGACGGUACCUGAAGAGUAAGCUCCGGCUAACUACGUGCCAGCAGCCGCGGUAAUACGUAGGGAGCAAGCGUUGUCCGGAUUUACUGGGCGUAAAGGGCGCGUAGGUGGUUUGUUAAGUUAUAGGUGAAAGUUCGGGGCUCAACCCCGUGAUUGCCUGUGAUACUGGCAGACUUGAGUGCAGGAGAGGGGAGCAGAAUUCCCAGUGUAGCGGUGAAAUGCGUAGAUAUUGGGAGGAAUACCAGUGGCGAAGGCGGCUCUCUGGACUGUAACUGACACUGAGGCGCGAAAGCGUGGGGAGCGAACAGGAUUAGAUACCCUGGUAGUCCACGCCGUAAACGAUGAGUGCUAGGUGUUGCGGGUAUCGACCCCUGCAGUGCCGUAGUAAACACAAUAAGCACUCCGCCUGGGGAGUAC
Molecule: ribosomal RNA, 497 nt
Filed under: uncultured bacterium
Lineage: Bacteria
Description: bacterial SSU rRNA
Rfam family: Bacterial small subunit ribosomal RNA
Source: RNAcentral